Molecule: transfer RNA, 73 nt
Filed under: Camelus bactrianus (Bactrian camel)
Lineage: Eukaryota; Metazoa; Chordata; Mammalia; Artiodactyla; Camelidae
Also listed under: 1 other name
Rfam family: tRNA
About the family: Transfer RNA (tRNA) molecules are approximately 80 nucleotides in length.
Source: Rfam by way of RNAcentral
GAUGGUAUAGCUUAAGUGGUAGAGUAUGUGCUUAGCAUGCACGGGGUCCUAGGUUCAAUCCCCAGUACCUCCU